GAAUUCGCCCUUAGAGUUUGAUCCUGGCUCAGGACGAACGCUGGCGGCGCGCCUAACACAUGCAAGUCGAACGAGCGAGAGAGAGCUUGCUUUCUUGAGCGAGUGGCGAACGGGUGAGUAACGCGUGAGGAACCUGCCUCAAAGAGGGGGACAACAGUUGGAAACGACUGCUAAUACCGCAUAAGCCCACGGGUCGGCAUCGACCAGAGGGAAAAGGAGCAAUCCGCUUUGAGAUGGCCUCGCGUCCGAUUAGCUGGUUGGUGAGGUAAUGGCCCACCAAGGCGACGAUCGGUAGCCGGACUGAGAGGUUGAACGGCCACAUUGGGACUGAGACACGGCCCAGACUCCUACGGGAGGCAGCAGUGGGGAAUAUUGCACAAUGGGGGAAACCCUGAUGCAGCGACGCCGCGUGGAGGAAGAAGGUCUUCGGAUUGUAAACUCCUGUUGUUGGGGAAGAUAAUGACGGUAUCCAACAAGGAAGUGACGGCUAACUACGUGCCAGCAGCCGCGGUAAAACGUAGGUCACAAGCGUUGUCCGGAAUUACUGGGUGUAAAGGGAGCGCAGGCGGGAAGACAAGUUGGAAGUGAAAUCCAUGGGCUCAACCCAUGAACUGCUUUCAAAACUGUUUUUCUUGAGUAGUGCAGAGGUAGGCGGAAUUCCCGGUGUAGCGGUGGAAUGCGUAGAUAUCGGGAGGAACACCAGUGGCGAAGGCGGCCUACUGGGCACCAACUGACGCUGAGGCUCGAAAGUGUGGGUAGCAAACAGGAUUAGAUACCCUGGUAGUCCACACCGUAAACGAUGAUUACUAGGUGUUGGAGGAUUGACCCCUUCAGUGCCGCAGUUAACACAAUAAGUAAUCCACCUGGGGAGUACGACCGCAAGGUUGAAACUCAAAGGAAUUGACGGGGGCCCGCACAAGCAGUGGAGUAUGUGGUUUAAUUCGACGCAACGCGAAGAACCUUACCAAGUCUUGACAUCCGUUGACCGACAUAGAAAUAUGUUUUUCCUUCGGGACAGCGAGACAGGUGGUGCAUGGUUGUCGUCAGCUCGUGUCGUGAGAUGUUGGGUUAAGUCCCGCAACGAGCGCAACCCUUAUGGUCAGUUACUACGCAAGAGGACUCUGGCCAGACUGCCGUUGACAAAACGGAGGAAGGUGGGGAUGACGUCAAAUCAUCAUGCCCUUUAUGACUUGGGCUACACACGUACUACAAUGGCGUUAAACAAAGAGAAGCAAGACCGCGAGGUGGAGCAAAACUCAGAAACAACGUCCCAGUUCGGACUGCAGGCUGCAACUCGCCUGCACGAAGUCGGAAUUGCUAGUAAUCGUGGAUCAGCAUGCCACGGUGAAUACGUUCCCGGGCCUUGUACACACCGCCCGUCA
RNAcentral lists this ribosomal RNA (1382 nucleotides) under uncultured bacterium. RNAcentral's name for it is "bacterial SSU rRNA". It matches the Rfam family "Bacterial small subunit ribosomal RNA". The record is from RNAcentral.